This 253-nucleotide ribosomal RNA is filed under the name uncultured bacterium. RNAcentral's name for it is "partial 16S ribosomal RNA". It matches the Rfam family "Bacterial small subunit ribosomal RNA", at positions 524 to 776 of the family's 1533-position model. The record is from RNAcentral.
GCCAGAGGGUGCAAACGUUGUUCGGAUUUACUGGGCGUAAAGCGCGUGUAGGCGGCUUUGCAAGUCGGAUGUGAAAGCCCACGGCUCAACCGUGGAAGUGCAUCCGAAACUGCAUGGCUGGAGUCUCGGAGAGGAAGGUGGAAUGCUUGGUGUAGAGGUGAAAUUCGUAGAUAUCAAGCAGAACACCUGCGGCGAAGGCGGCCUUCUGGACGAUGACUGACGCUGAGACGCGAAAGCGUGGGGAGCAAACAGG